Molecule: ribosomal RNA, 2367 nt
Filed under: Enterobacter hormaechei
Lineage: Bacteria; Pseudomonadati; Pseudomonadota; Gammaproteobacteria; Enterobacterales; Enterobacteriaceae
Also listed under: 1 other name
Description: partial 23S ribosomal RNA
Rfam family: Bacterial large subunit ribosomal RNA
Source: RNAcentral
CACCUUCGGGUGUGACUGCGUACCUUUUGUAUAAUGGGUCAGCGACUUAUAUUCUGUAGCAAGGUUAACCGUAUAGGGGAGCCGAAGGGAAACCGAGUCUUAACUGGGCGUUAAGUUGCAGGGUAUAGACCCGAAACCCGGUGAUCUAGCCAUGGGCAGGUUGAAGGUUGGGUAACACUAACUGGAGGACCGAACCGACUAAUGUUGAAAAAUUAGCGGAUGACCUGUGGCUGGGGGUGAAAGGCCAAUCAAACCGGGAGAUAGCUGGUUCUCCCCGAAAGCUAUUUAGGUAGCGCCUCGUGAACUCAUCUUCGGGGGUAGAGCACUGUUUCGGCUAGGGGGCCAUCCCGGCUUACCAACCCGAUGCAAACUACGAAUACCGAAGAAUGUUAUCACGGGAGACACACGGCGGGUGCUAACGUCCGUCGUGAAGAGGGAAACAACCCAGACCGCCAGCUAAGGUCCCAAAGUCAUGGUUAAGUGGGAAACGAUGUGGGAAGGCACAGACAGCCAGGAUGUUGGCUUAGAAGCAGCCAUCAUUUAAAGAAAGCGUAAUAGCUCACUGGUCGAGUCGGCCUGCGCGGAAGAUGUAACGGGGCUAAACCAUGCACCGAAGCUGCGGCAGCGACGCUUAUGCGUUGUUGGGUAGGGGAGCGUUCUGUAAGCCGUUGAAGGUGUGCUGUGAGGCAUGCUGGAGGUAUCAGAAGUGCGAAUGCUGACAUAAGUAACGAUAAAGCGGGUGAAAAGCCCGCUCGCCGGAAGACCAAGGGUUCCUGUCCAACGUUAAUCGGGGCAGGGUGAGUCGACCCCUAAGGCGAGGCCGAAAGGCGUAGUCGAUGGGAAACAGGUUAAUAUUCCUGUACUUGGUGUUACUGCGAAGGGGGGACGGAGAAGGCUAUGUCAGCCGGGCGACGGUUGUCCCGGUUUAAGCAUGUAGGCGGAGGUUCCAGGUAAAUCCGGUACCUUAUUAACGCUGAGGUGUGAUGACGAGGCACUACGGUGCUGAAGUGAUAAAUGCCCUGCUUCCAGGAAAAGCCUCUAAGCAUCAGGUAACACGAAAUCGUACCCCAAACCGACACAGGUGGUCAGGUAGAGAAUACCAAGGCGCUUGAGAGAACUCGGGUGAAGGAACUAGGCAAAAUGGUGCCGUAACUUCGGGAGAAGGCACGCUGAUAUGUAGGUGAAGCCCCUGCGGGCGGAGCUGAAAUCAGUCGAAGAUACCAGCUGGCUGCAACUGUUUAUUAAAAACACAGCACUGUGCAAACACGAAAGUGGACGUAUACGGUGUGACGCCUGCCCGGUGCCGGAAGGUUAAUUGAUGGGGUUAGCGGCAACGCGAAGCUCUUGAUCGAAGCCCCGGUAAACGGCGGCCGUAACUAUAACGGUCCUAAGGUAGCGAAAUUCCUUGUCGGGUAAGUUCCGACCUGCACGAAUGGCGUAAUGAUGGCCAGGCUGUCUCCACCCGAGACUCAGUGAAAUUGAACUCGCUGUGAAGAUGCAGUGUACCCGCGGCAAGACGGAAAGACCCCGUGAACCUUUACUAUAGCUUGACACUGAACACUGGUCCUUGAUGUGUAGGAUAGGUGGGAGGCUUUGAAGCGUGGACGCCAGUCUGCGUGGAGCCGCCCUUGAAAUACCACCCUUUAAUGGCUGGUGUUCUAACGUAGACCCGUGAUCCGGGUUGCGGACAGUGUCUGGUGGGUAGUUUGACUGGGGCGGUCUCCUCCCAAAGAGUAACGGAGGAGCACGAAGGUUGGCUAAUCCUGGUCGGACAUCAGGAGGUUAGUGCAAUGGCAUAAGCCAGCUUGACUGCGAGCGUGACGGCGCGAGCAGGUGCGAAAGCAGGUCAUAGUGAUCCGGUGGUUCUGAAUGGAAGGGCCAUCGCUCAACGGAUAAAAGGUACUCCGGGGAUAACAGGCUGAUACCGCCCAAGAGUUCAUAUCGACGGCGGUGUUUGGCACCUCGAUGUCGGCUCAUCACAUCCUGGGGCUGAAGUAGGUCCCAAGGGUAUGGCUGUUCGCCAUUUAAAGUGGUACGCGAGCUGGGUUUAGAACGUCGUGAGACAGUUCGGUCCCUAUCUGCCGUGGGCGCUGGAGAAUUGAGGGGGGCUGCUCCUAGUACGAGAGGACCGGAGUGGACGCAUCACUGGUGUUCGGGUUGUCAUGCCAAUGGCACUGCCCGGUAGCUAAAUGCGGAAGAGAUAAGUGCUGAAAGCAUCUAAGCACGAAACUUGCCCCGAGAUGAGUUCUCCCUGAGACCUUGAGUCUCCUGAAGGAACGUUGAAGACGACGACGUUGAUAGGUCGGGUGUGUAAGCGCAGCGAUGCGUUGAGCUAACCGAUACUAAUGAACCGUGAGGCUUAACCUU